RNAcentral lists this small nuclear RNA (315 nucleotides) under Nannospalax galili (Upper Galilee mountains blind mole rat). Its description in RNAcentral is "7SK RNA (ENSNGAG00000004979.1)". It matches the Rfam family "7SK RNA". Rfam says of the family: 7SK was discovered as an abundant small nuclear RNA in the mid-70s but a possible function has only recently been suggested. Two independent studies have found that 7SK RNA binds the CDK9/cyclin T complex (known as elongation factor P-TEFb). Lineage: Eukaryota; Metazoa; Chordata; Mammalia; Rodentia; Spalacidae. The record is from RNAcentral.
UGACGUGAGGGCGAUCUGGCUGUAACAUCUGUCACUCCACUGAUCGCCAGGGUUGACUCGGCUGAUCUGGCUGGGUAGGCGGGUGUCCCCUUCCUCCCUCGACAAUCCAUGUGCAUCCCUCCAGAAGCUGUGCAUUGGGUUGAAUUCAGAUGACCUUCUCUAAUAAAGUGGGACUGGUCUUCAGUCAAGGGUAUACCAGUAGCUGCGCUCCCCUGCUAGAACCUCCGAACAAGCUUUCAAGGAAAAAGUAAUUCUUUAAAGUUUCCUUAGCUACAAUACUUCUUACGAUUCACGUUCCCAGGAAAAUCUUGAGUA